GACGAACGCUGGCGGCGUGCUUAACACAUGCAAGUCGAACGGAAAGGCCCUGCUUUUGUGGGGUGCUCGAGUGGCGAACGGGUGAGUAACACGUGAGUAACCUGCCCUUGACUUUGGGAUAACUUCAGGAAACUGGGGCUAAUACCGGAUAGGAGCUCCUGCUGCAUGGUGGUGGUUGGAAAGUUUCGGCGGUUGGGGAUGGACUCGCGGCUUAUCAGCUUGUUGGUGGGGUAGUGGCUUACCAAGGCUUUGACGGGUAGCCGGCCUGGGAGGGUGACCGGCCACAUUGGGACUGAGAUACGGCCCAGACUCCUACGGGAGGCAGCAGUGGGGAAUAUUGCAGAAUGGGCGGAAGCCUGAUGCAGCAACGCCGCGUGCGGGAUGACGGCCUUCGGGUUGUAAACCGCUUUCGCCUGUGACGAAGCGUGAGUGACGGUAAUGGGUAAAGAAGCACCGGCUAACUACGUG
Molecule: ribosomal RNA, 468 nt
Filed under: uncultured bacterium
Lineage: Bacteria
Description: partial 16S ribosomal RNA
Rfam family: Bacterial small subunit ribosomal RNA
Source: RNAcentral